GUGCUCACUUCUGCAGCACAGAUACUAGAACCAGAAUAAUACAGAGAUUAGCAUGGCCCCUGUGCAAGGAUGAACCACAAAUUUGUGAAGCGUUCCACAUUUUA
Molecule: small nuclear RNA, 104 nt
Organism: Fukomys damarensis (Damara mole-rat)
Lineage: Eukaryota; Metazoa; Chordata; Mammalia; Rodentia; Bathyergidae
Source: Ensembl